RNAcentral lists this ribosomal RNA (216 nucleotides) under uncultured bacterium. RNAcentral describes it as "partial 16S ribosomal RNA". It matches the Rfam family "Bacterial small subunit ribosomal RNA", at positions 142 to 353 of the family's 1533-position model. The record is from RNAcentral.
AGUAACAGUUAGAAAUAGACUGCUAAUACCGCAUAAGACCACAGCACCGCAUGGUGCAGGGGUAAAAACUACCGGUGGUACUAGGAUGGACCCGCGUCUGAUUAGCUGGUUGGUGAGGUAACGGCUCACCAAGGCGACGAUCAGUAGCCGGCUUGAGAGAGUGAACGGCCACAUUGGGACUGAGACACGGCCCAAACUCCUACGGGAGGCAGCAUG